UUCCGGUUGAUCCUGCCGGAGGUCACUGCUAUCGGGGUUUGACUAAGCCAUGCGAGUCAAAUGUUCUUCGUGAACAUGGCGUAAUGCUCAGUAACACGUGGAUAACCUGCCCUUAGGUCCGGCAUAAUCUCGGGAAACUGAGGAUAAUUCCGGAUAGCUCUUUUUGGCCGGAAAUGUAUUAAGAGUAAAAGUAUUUCGCCUAAGGAUGGGUCUGCGGCCUAUCAGGUAGUAGAGGGUGUAACGCACCUUCCAGCCGACAACGGGUACGGGUUGUGAGAGCAAGAGCCCGGAGAUGGAUUCUGAGACAUGAAUCCAGGCCCUACGGGGCGCAGCAGGCGCGAAAACUUUACAAUGCAGGAAACUGUGAUAAGGAAACACCGAGUGCCCGCAUCUAAUGCGGGCUGUCCGCGUACUCAAAUCGUACGCGUCAGCAAGGACCGGGCAAUACCGGUGCCAGCCGCCGCGGCAAUACCGGUGGUCCGAGUGGUAGCCGCUUUUAUUUGGUCUAAAGGGUCCGUAGCCGGUCCGGUCAGUCCAUUGGUAAAUCCGCGCGCUCAACACGCGGUCUUCAGUGGAUACUUCCGGACUUGGGACCGGGAGAGGUAAGAGGUACUAUAGGGGUAGGAGUGAAAUCCUGUAAUCCUUAUGAGACCACCUGUGGCGAAGGCGUCUUACCGGAACGGGUCCGACGGUGAGGGACGAAAGCUGGGGGCACGAACCGGAUUAGAUACCCGGGUAGUCCCAGCCGUAAACUAUGCCCGCUGGGUGUCAGGCAUGGCAUGACUGUGUCCGGUGCCGUAGAGAAGUCGUGAAGCGGGCCACCUGGGAAGUACGGCCGCAAGGCUGAAACUUAAAGGAAUUGGCGGGGGAGCACUACAACGGGUGGAGCCUGCGGUUUAAUUGGAUUCAACGCCGGA
RNAcentral lists this ribosomal RNA (917 nucleotides) under uncultured compost archaeon. RNAcentral's name for it is "bacterial SSU rRNA". It matches the Rfam family "Archaeal small subunit ribosomal RNA", at positions 1 to 922 of the family's 1478-position model. The record is from RNAcentral.